This 348-nucleotide ribosomal RNA is filed under the name uncultured Glomeromycotina. RNAcentral's name for it is "SSU rRNA". It matches the Rfam family "Eukaryotic small subunit ribosomal RNA", at positions 569 to 923 of the family's 1831-position model. Lineage: Eukaryota; Fungi; Glomeromycota. The record is from RNAcentral.
AGCAGCCGCGGUAAUUCCAGCUCCAAUAGCGUAUAUUAAAGUUGUUGCAGUUAAAAGCUCGUAGUUGAAUUUCGGGAUCAAUUAAUCGGUCGUACCUAUGGUACGUACUGAUUUUAUUGGUUUCUCCCUUCUGACGAACUAUGAUGUCAUUAAUUUGGUGUCGUGGAGAAUCAGGACUGUUACUUUGAAAAAUUAGAGUGUUUAAAGCAGGCUAACGCUUGAAUACAUUAGCAUGGAAUAAUGAAAUAGGACGUUUGAUCCUAUUUUGUUGGUUUCUAGGAUCCACGUAAUGAUUAAUAGGGAUAGUUGGGGGCAUUAGUAUUCAAUUGUCAGAGGUGAAAUUCUUGG